UCGGGGUGAGCGGCGGACGGGUUAGUAACGCGUGGGAACGUACCCUUCUCUACGGAAUAGCCAUUGGAAACGAUGAGUAAUACCGUAUACGCCCUUUGGGGGAAAGAUUUAUCGGAGAAGGAUCGGCCCGCGUUAGAUUAGAUAGUUGGUGGGGUAAUGGCCUACCAAGCCCGAGAUCUGUAGCUGGUCUGAGAGGAUGACCAGCCACACUGGAACUGAGACACGGUCCAGACUCC
Molecule: ribosomal RNA, 236 nt
Filed under: uncultured bacterium
Lineage: Bacteria
Description: partial 16S ribosomal RNA
Rfam family: Bacterial small subunit ribosomal RNA
Source: RNAcentral